AGCUCCAAUAGCGUAUAUUAAAGUUGUUGCGGUUAAAAAGCUCGUAGUUGGAUUUCUGUUGAGGGUGGCCAGUCCGCACUUUGUGCGUGUAUUUGGUUCAGCCUCGGCAUCCUCCUGGGGAGCGUUUCUGUACUUGAUUGUAUGGGGCGUAAUUCAGGACUUUUACUUUGAGGAAAUUAGAGUGUUCACGGCAGGCGUUCGCCUUGAAUAUGUUAGCAUGGAAUAAUAAUAUAAGACCUCGGUUUUAUUUUGUUGGUUUCUAGAAGCGGGGUAAUGAUUAAUAGGGACAAUUGGGGGUAUUCGUAUUCAGUUGUCAGAGGUGAAAUUCUUGGAUUUACGGAAGACGAACUACUGCGAAAGCAUUUACCAAGGAU
RNAcentral lists this ribosomal RNA (374 nucleotides) under uncultured eukaryote. RNAcentral describes it as "SSU rRNA". It matches the Rfam family "Eukaryotic small subunit ribosomal RNA", at positions 587 to 965 of the family's 1831-position model. The record is from RNAcentral.